CCUACGGGAGGCAGCAGUGGGGAAUAUUGGGCAAUGGGCGCAACCCUGACCCAGCCACGCCGCGUGAAGGAAGAAGGCCCUCUGGUUGUAAACUUCUUUUCUCAGGGACGAAGACUGUGACGGUACCUGCGGAAUAAGCCACGGCUAACUACGGGCCAGCAGCCGUGGUAAUCCGUCGGGGGCAAGCGUUAUCCGGAUUUAUUGGGUGUAAAGGGCGUGUAGGCGGGAGCGCAAGUCAGAUGUGAAAACUCAGGGCUCAACCCUGAGCCUGCAUUUGAAACUGUGUUUCUUGAGUGCUGGAGAGGCAAUCGGAAUUCCGUGUGUAGCGGUGAAAUGCGUAGAUAUACGGAGGAACACCAGUGGCGAAGGCGGAUUGCUGGACAGUAACGGACGCUGAGGCGCGAAAGCGUGGGGAGCAAACAGGAUUAGAUACCCCAGUAGUC
This 443-nucleotide ribosomal RNA is filed under the name uncultured bacterium. RNAcentral's name for it is "partial 16S ribosomal RNA". It matches the Rfam family "Bacterial small subunit ribosomal RNA", at positions 338 to 795 of the family's 1533-position model. The record is from RNAcentral.